RNAcentral lists this ribosomal RNA (869 nucleotides) under Kocuria sp. R-23202. Its description in RNAcentral is "bacterial SSU rRNA". It matches the Rfam family "Bacterial small subunit ribosomal RNA", at positions 28 to 904 of the family's 1533-position model. The record is from RNAcentral. Lineage: Bacteria; Bacillati; Actinomycetota; Actinomycetes; Micrococcales; Micrococcaceae.
GACGAACGCUGGCGGCGUGCUUAACACAUGCAAGUCGAACGCUGAAGCACCAGCUUGCUGGUGUGGAUGAGUGGCGAACGGGUGAGUAAUACGUGAGUAACCUGCCCUUGACUCUGGGAUAAGCCCGGGAAACUGGGUCUAAUACUGGAUGCUACAUGUCACCGCAUGGUGGUGUGUGGAAAGGGUUUACUGGUCUUGGAUGGGCUCACGGCCUAUCAGCUUGUUGGUGAGGUAAUGGCUCACCAAGGCGACGACGGGUAGCCGGCCUGAGAGGGUGACCGGCCACACUGGGACUGAGACACGGCCCAGACUCCUACGGGAGGCAGCAGUGGGGAAUAUUGCACAAUGGGCGAAAGCCUGAUGCAGCGACGCCGCGUGAGGGAUGACGGCCUUCGGGUUGUAAACCUCUUUCAGCAGGGAAGAAGCCACAAGUGACGGUACCUGCAGAAGAAGCGCCGGCUAACUACGUGCCAGCAGCCGCGGUAAUACGUAGGGCGCAAGCGUUGUCCGGAAUUAUUGGGCGUAAAGAGCUCGUAGGCGGUUUGUCGCGUCUGCUGUGAAAGCCCGGGGCUUAACCCCGGGUGUGCAGUGGGUACGGGCAGACUAGAGUGCAGUAGGGGAGACUGGAAUUCCUGGUGUAGCGGUGGAAUGCGCAGAUAUCAGGAGGAACACCGAUGGCGAAGGCAGGUCUCUGGGCUGUUACUGACGCUGAGGAGCGAAAGCAUGGGGAGCGAACAGGAUUAGAUACCCUGGUAGUCCAUGCCGUAAACGUUGGGCACUAGGUGUGGGGGACAUUCCACGUUUUCCGCGCCGUAGCUAACGCAUUAAGUGCCCCGCCUGGGGAGUACGGCCGCAAGGCUAAAACUCAA